Molecule: ribosomal RNA, 1078 nt
Filed under: Triticum aestivum (bread wheat)
Lineage: Eukaryota; Viridiplantae; Streptophyta; Magnoliopsida; Poales; Poaceae
Description: partial small subunit ribosomal RNA
Source: RNAcentral
CCGCACGACAAGUUCGUCCCCGUCCCCACGCACGGACGAAUCCAAUCUCAAUCCCCUCGCAUAGCCGCCGCCGCCGCCACCCUCCUCUCGCUCCUGCCGCAGGGAUCCGGCCGGCCACCAGUACUGCAGGCCCUCCACCGCGGCGCGCCGAGUCGGCGGAAGCCUCCGCUUCCCAGGCGCCCCCUAACCUGCCGCCGACGACAGAGGAUCGAUCUCUCCACCGUACGCCGGAAACCAUACUGCCUCAGGCUGCGCAGUUCCCUCCUGUUUACUCGAGCGGUUUCCCCUCUGACGUCCAUCGCCCGUACUACCUCGCCGCCGGCGAGCUUCCCGCCGACUACAGGUAUGUGAAAAGUCAAGGUGACAAACAACUGUGGUAUAAGAAUGCUGCACAUUUGACAUCGGAUUGUGCACCUGAGGUAACCGCUGAUGGUGCUCCAAUUGUUCCAUGUGGCCUUGUUGCUUGGAGUUUGUUCAAUGACACAUAUACAGUUUGGGUCAAUAGGCUGGUUAUUCAAGUGAAUAAAAAAAAGGACAUGGCUUGGAAGAGUGACAAAACAAUAAAUUCGGCAAUAAUAUCUAUCCCAGUAACUCCCAGAAGGGAAGUCUUAUAGGUGGUGCUAAGCUAAAUGAGAGCAUACCAGUACGCGGAUUUCUCUUUGACCCUGCACAUGCAUUACUUUUGGUAUUAAGGGAUCUGUGUGCUGGAAUAUAGCAGACCUUUAUUACAAUCGUUUUAUGCACACUAUAGAUUUUUUACUCAUUAACAAUUUAUUCUUCUUGUCUGGUGUUCGAACCAUCGGAUUGGUGUGUGUACUAGACAGUUGCCAGCCACCGUCGUUUACCUCCAGCUCACCGGCCAGCCGCCAUCAUCUACCUCCUGUCUUAUUGGAUCGCCGGACAGCCGUCAUCGUCUACCUCCCGCCUCGCCGGACAGCGCGGUCGUCUAACUUUGUCUCACCGGACAGCCACCGCUGUCUACCUCUGCCUCGUAGUUAAUUGUGUACUAUAAAUUCCUUCUGAGAACUUGUUAGGUUAUUCUAACUCUGCCAUGUAUCCAGGAUCUUGUUUACUGAAU